CCUACGGGAGGCUGCAGUGGGGAAUAUUGGGCAAUGGGCGAAAGCCUGAACCAGCAACGCCGCGUGAAGGAAGAAGGCUUUCGGGUUGUAAACCUCUUUUCUCAGGGACGAAGAAAGUGACGGUACCUGAGGAAUAAGCCACGGCUAACUACGUGGCAGCAGCCGCGGUAAUACGUAGGUGGCAAGCGUUAUCCGGAUGUACUGGGUGUAAAGGGCGUGUAGGCGGGACGGUAAGUCAGAUGUGAAAACCAGGGGCUCAACCUGUGGCCUGCAUUUGAAACUGUAGUUCUUGAGUACUGGAGAGGCAGGCGGAAUUCCUGGUGUAGCGGUGAAAUGCGUAGAUAUUAGGAGGAACACCAGUGGCGAAGGCGGUCUGCUGGACAGCAACUGACGCUGAGGCGCGAAAGCGUGGGGAUCAAACAGGAUUAGAUACCCGUGUAGUC
Molecule: ribosomal RNA, 443 nt
Filed under: uncultured bacterium
Lineage: Bacteria
Description: partial 16S ribosomal RNA
Rfam family: Bacterial small subunit ribosomal RNA
Source: RNAcentral